UGGGGAAUUUUGGACAAUGGGCGAAAGCCUGAUCCAGCAAUGCCGCGUGUGUGAAGAAGGCCUUCGGGUUGUAAAGCACUUUUGUCCGGAAAGAAAUCCUUGGCUCUAAUACAGUCGGGGGAUGACGGUACCGGAAGAAUAAGCACCGGCUAACUACGUGCCAGCAGCCGCGGUAAUACGUAGGGUGCAAGCGUUAAUCGGAAUUACUGGGCGUAAAGCGUGCGCAGGCGGUCCGCUAAGACAGAUGUGAAAUCCCCGGGCUUAACCUGGGAACUGCAUUUGUGACUGGCGGGCUAGAGUAUGGCAGAGGGGGGUAGAAUUCCACGUGUAGCAGUGAAAUGCGUAGAGAUGUGGAGGAAUACCGAUGGCGAAGGCAGCCCCCUGGGCCAAUACUGACGCUCAUGCACGAAAGCGUGGGGGAGCAAACAGGAUUAGAUACCCUGGUAGUCCACGCCCUAAACGAUGUCAACUAGUUGUCGGGUCUUCAUUGACUUGGUAACGUAGCUAACGCGUGAAGUUGACCGCCUGGGGAGUACGGUCGCAAGAUUAAAACUUAAAUGAAUUGACGGGGUCAUAGCUGUUUCCUG
RNAcentral lists this ribosomal RNA (587 nucleotides) under uncultured bacterium. RNAcentral's name for it is "partial 16S ribosomal RNA". It matches the Rfam family "Bacterial small subunit ribosomal RNA", at positions 355 to 1376 of the family's 1533-position model. The record is from RNAcentral.